Long non-coding RNA from Clupea harengus (Atlantic herring), 336 nucleotides. RefSeq lists it as uncharacterized. The transcript is spliced from 2 exons. Lineage: Eukaryota; Metazoa; Chordata; Actinopteri; Clupeiformes; Clupeidae. The record is from RefSeq and is a predicted model, not a curated record.
CUGAAAUGAAUCAAGACGUAGAGGAGGCUGCAGGUCACAGUAAGACACUCAGACCAGAGUCUGCACUACACAGCUGUGUGACCAUGAAGAAUGACCAGGACAUGGAUGAUCCUGUAAACAUGAGCAGCACAUCAACACAGACCAAUGCAGGACGACACACACACAGACCUCCAUCUCCAGCGCCCAGCUGUGUGUCUAUGAAGAGUGACCGGUCCAGGCAUCAGCCUCUUAACUUCAGCAGUCAACCAGUUCCAUCAAGUCUAAAGUGAGUAGAUUUCAUAUAAGUUAUUCAGAAAUGUCAGUGUUGACACAUGCAAUUCUACAGACAAACACACA